CAGUAGCCGCGGGAAUACAGAGGGUGCGAGCGUUAAUCGGAUUUACUGGGCGUAAAGCGUGCGUAGGCGGCUUCUUAAGUCGGAUGUGAAAUCCCUGAGCUUAACUUAGGAAUUGCAUUCGAUACUGGGAAGCUAGAGUAUGGGAGAGGAUGGUAGAAUUCCAGGUGUAGCGGUGAAAUGCGUAGAGAUCUGGAGGAAUACCGAUGGCGAAGGCAGCCAUCUGGCCUAAUACUGACGCUGAGGUACGAAAGCAUGGGGAGCAAACAGGAUUAGAUCCCCCGUAGUCCCUGUCUAUUAUACA
Molecule: ribosomal RNA, 301 nt
Filed under: uncultured bacterium
Lineage: Bacteria
Description: partial 16S ribosomal RNA
Rfam family: Bacterial small subunit ribosomal RNA
Source: RNAcentral